Molecule: ribosomal RNA, 465 nt
Filed under: uncultured Klebsiella sp.
Lineage: Bacteria; Pseudomonadati; Pseudomonadota; Gammaproteobacteria; Enterobacterales; Enterobacteriaceae
Description: bacterial SSU rRNA
Rfam family: Bacterial small subunit ribosomal RNA
Source: RNAcentral
CCUACGGGGGGCUGCAGUGGGGAAUAUUGCACAAUGGGCGCAAGCCUGAUGCAGCCAUGCCGCGUGUGUGAAGAAGGCCUUCGGGUUGUAAAGCACUUUCAGCGGGGAGGAAGGCGGUGAGGUUAAUAACCUCAUCGAUUGAAGUUACCCGCAGAAGAAGCACCGGCUAACUCCGUGCCAGCAGCCGCGGUAAUACGGAGGGUGCAAGCGUUAAUCGGAAUUACUGGGCGUAAAGCGCACGCAGGCGGUCUGUCAAGUCGGAUGUGAAAUCCCCGGGCUCAACCUGGGAACUGCAUUCGAAACUGGCAGGCUAGAGUCUUGUAGAGGGGGGUAGAAUUCCAGGUGUAGCGGUGAAAUGCGUAGAGAUCUGGAGGAAUACCGGUGGCGAAGGCGGCCCCCUGGACAAAGACUGACGCUCAGGUGCGAAAGCGUGGGGAGCAAACAGGAUUAGAUACCCGAGUAGUC